This 302-nucleotide ribosomal RNA is filed under the name Oncholaimus sp. TJP-2010. RNAcentral describes it as "SSU rRNA". It matches the Rfam family "Eukaryotic small subunit ribosomal RNA", at positions 111 to 414 of the family's 1831-position model. Lineage: Eukaryota; Metazoa; Nematoda; Enoplea; Enoplida; Oncholaimidae. The record is from RNAcentral.
CAUAGUUUACUGGAUAUAUUCCAUUACAUGGAUAACUGUGGUAAUUCUACAGCUAAUACACGCAUCAAAGCCCCGACUUAAUGAAGGGGUGCGUUAGUUACUUCAAACCAAUCGGUCUUCGGACUGACUGCAAAUGAUGUUGAACUAUUUAGCUGAUCGCACGGUCUUGCACCGGCGACAUAUCCUUCAAAUGUCUGCCUUAUCAACUUUCGAUGGUAGAUUAUGCGCCUACCAUGGUUGUAACGGGUAACGGAGAAUCAGGGUUUGAUUCCGGAGAGGGAGCCUGAGAAAUGGCUACCACA